RNAcentral lists this ribosomal RNA (260 nucleotides) under uncultured bacterium. RNAcentral's name for it is "partial 16S ribosomal RNA". It matches the Rfam family "Bacterial small subunit ribosomal RNA", at positions 524 to 778 of the family's 1533-position model. The record is from RNAcentral.
UACGUAGGGUCCGAGCGUUUGUCCGGAGUUACUGGGCGUAAAGCGCGCGCAGGUGGUUCACUAAGCCCGGCGUGAAAGCCCCCGGCUCAACCGGGGGAGGGUCGUCGGGGACUGGUGAACUUGAGGGCGGCAGGGGCUGGUGGAAUCCCCGGUGUAGCGGUGAAAUGCGUAGAUAUCGGGAGGAACACCAGUGGCGAAGGCGACUACCUGGCCUGUUCUUGACGCUGAGGCGCGAAAAGCUAGGGGGGAGCAAAACGGGG